AUGGUGCAACUAAUCUCCGAGUUCCUCUGCGCCGGCACCGGGACGGCGGUAGCAACCCUCGAAUGGGCCCUCGCCCACCUUGUCGACAAGCCGAAGAUGCAGGAGAAGUUCCGCGGUGAGGUCGACGACGGCGAGGUCUCCCGUGCAGGUGCAGGCAUGCCUUACCUGCAUGCUGUCGUGCUGGAGACCCUGCGCAUGCACCCACAGUUGCCGGUCAUCCCGCGCCAUGCCCAUGCCGAUGUCGUCGGGGUGCUGGUCGGAGGAAUGGCCGUGCCGCCGCCGGCCGGUGACUUUUACGUGAAUUUCUCUGCGGGGGACAUUGGCAGGGACAACAGGAUAUGGAAGGAUGCCGACGAGUUCCUGCCAGAGCGGUUCCUGACCGGCGGCGACGGGGAGGGCGUCGGCCCAUUGCCGGGGCCCAAGCAUAUCAGGAUGAUGCCAUUUGGCGCCGGGCAUAGGUUCUGCCCUGGCGUGGGCAUGGCCAUGGUGAACAUGAAGUGCUUCUUGGCGGCGCUCGUGCGCGAGUUCGAGUGGGCACCGCCGACUGGCACCGACACCGUUGACCUCACGGAGCUGGAUUCCUUCUUCAAGGUGAUGAAGAAGCCGCUUUCCGCGCGUGUCACGCAACGCACCAAAUCCAUCUAA
This 645-nucleotide ribosomal RNA is filed under the name Triticum aestivum (bread wheat). Its description in RNAcentral is "partial small subunit ribosomal RNA". Lineage: Eukaryota; Viridiplantae; Streptophyta; Magnoliopsida; Poales; Poaceae. The record is from RNAcentral.